GAUGAACGCUGGCGGCGUGCCUAAUACAUGCAAGUCGAGCGAACAGACGAGGAGCUUGCUCCUCUGACGUUAGCGGCGGACGGGUGAGUAACACGUGGAUAACCUACCUAUAAGACUUGGAUAACUUCGGGAAACCGGAGCUAAUACCGGAUAAUAUAUUUAACCGCAUGGUUCAAUAGUGAAAGACGGUUUUGCUGUCACUUAUAGAUGUAUCCGCGCCGCAUUAGCUAGUUGGUAAGGUAACGGCUUACCAAGGCAACGAUGCGUAGCCGACCUGAGAGGGUGAUCGGCCACACUGGAACUGAGACACGGUCCAGACUCCUACGGGAGGCAGCAGUAGGGAAGCUUCCGAAAUGGGCGAAAGCCUGAAGGAGCAACGCCGCGUGAGUGAUGAAGGGCUUCGGAUCGUAAAACUCUGUUAUGAGGGAAGAACAAAUGUGUAAGUAACUAUGCACGUCUUGACGGUACCUAAUCAGAAAGCCACGGCUAACUACGUG
This 497-nucleotide ribosomal RNA is filed under the name uncultured bacterium. Its description in RNAcentral is "partial 16S ribosomal RNA". It matches the Rfam family "Bacterial small subunit ribosomal RNA", at positions 28 to 507 of the family's 1533-position model. The record is from RNAcentral.